CACAACCCUAGGUUUAUUCUUCCACCUAUUUCCGCCGACCUCUCUCCUUCCCAAACCUCCCGAUUUCCAUCUCUGCUCUUCUCCGUCGCCUAGCCCGACGCCCAAGCGGUGAGGUCGAUUAACACAGCUAGCUGCCGACGAUCUCCGCCACCGCCCUCUGAGGUUAUUCCGUGCCCUAGACAUCUCCACUGUUGCUCUCCCUCUCGCCACUGCCUAACGCGACCGCUGCCACCCGAGGCCGCGCCAUCCUCCAUCAAUUACCGAGCAUCGCUGUCGACCUUCUCCUCCUUUGAGGAUGAUCCCGAUCAGGAGUCAGCCGGCGCGUUGGCUACCCACAGGUUCCACCGAGCCAAGCCCUAAUUCGAGUCUACCUCGCCGCACUAGCACACCAAGUCAGUCGUCAUGCUCCCGACCAAGAGGUGGAGAAUCCGAGCCCUUGCUUUGCUGGAUUUGGAGCGCUGGAAUCGGUGGUGAUCGGCAGUUUGGAAGGUGACUUCUUGUCUUCCCGAGUCCUGAAGCUGAGCAACCUCUUCGCCAUUUUUGGGGGUUUCCGAUACUGAGUUAGGUUAAGUGGCUCACUGUGAGAAGCUCGGCUACAACUCCCAGCAGUUAUUCUUCAUCCGAGAAGCAUUAGGACUUUGUUUCGGGACGAGCAUCUCGAUGUCGGAUUUCGGGACACGAUCGACAGAUAAAG
Zingiber officinale is the source of this 694-nucleotide long non-coding RNA. RefSeq lists it as uncharacterized. NCBI's taxonomy places the organism in Eukaryota, Viridiplantae, Streptophyta, Magnoliopsida, Zingiberales, Zingiberaceae. The record is from RefSeq and is a predicted model, not a curated record. The transcript is spliced from 3 exons.